GGCGCGGACGUGCCGCGGCUGGCCUACCUCGUCUCCGGGUCCAAGGGCUACCUGGACUGGCGGGUGCUGCACGCGCUCUACCACCCGCGCAACCUGUACGUGGUGCACCUGGACCUGGAGUCGCCGGCGGGGGAGCGGGUGGAGCUGGCGGCGCGGGUGGGCAACAGCACCGUGUUCCAGCGCUUCGGCAACGUCGAGGUGAUCCGGCGCGCCAACAUGGUGACGUACCGCGGGCCGACGAUGGUGGCCAACACCCUGCAUGCCUGCGCCGUCCUCCUCCGCCGCAGCCGCGACUGGGACUGGUUCAUCAACCUCUCUGCCUCCGACUACCCGCUCAUGACCCAGGACGAUAUCCUUCACGUAUUCUCGACGCUACCGAGGAACAUCAGCUUCAUGGAGCAUUUCAGCAAGCUGGGCCGGAUGGAGGACACCCGGGCGAAGCCUCUCAUCGUGGACCCGGGGCUGUACAUGUCGACCAAGCAGGACAUCUUCACCGUGUCGGCGCAGCAGCGGGAGCUGCCGACGGCGUUCAAGCUGCACAUGGGGUCGGAGUACGUGGUGUGGGGGUGGGACAACCUGCCGCGGACGCUCCUCAUGUACUACACCAACUUCGUCUCCUCCCCAGAAGGCUAUUUCCAGACCGUGAUGUGCAACGCGCCCGGCUUCGUGCGCACCGUCGCCAACCAUGACCUGCACCACAUCCGGUGGGACGUCCCGCCGAGGCAGCACCCGUGUUUGCUCGGGCUCGCCGACAGGGACGGAAUGGUGGGCAGCGACGUGCCUUUCGCGCGCAAGUUCGCGCGCGACGAUCCCGUGCUCGAUGCCAUAGACGCAGACCUUCUGCUCGGCCGCGGGAGGAAUGGCACGGCGGCCGGGCUGUUCGUGCCCGGUGCCUGGUGCGGCCAACGCGGGGACUGCGGUGCCGCCCGCGCCAAUGUCGACGACUGGGUGCUCAGGCCUGGCCCCGGUGCCGAGAGGUUGCAGAGGCUCAUGGACAGGAUCGUUAGGUCUGAGACCUUCGCCAAUAGCCAGUAA
RNAcentral lists this ribosomal RNA (1035 nucleotides) under Triticum aestivum (bread wheat). RNAcentral's name for it is "partial small subunit ribosomal RNA". The record is from RNAcentral. Lineage: Eukaryota; Viridiplantae; Streptophyta; Magnoliopsida; Poales; Poaceae.